UCCCCCGCGACGCCUCCCUGACGCGGGCCCCAUCGACGGCUCGAUGGGUCAUUCCCCCCGUUGCGCGUCUGGCGACGGGGUUUUUUUU
Ralstonia solanacearum is the source of this 88-nucleotide small RNA. It matches the Rfam family "Burkholderia RNA 7 (anti-hemB)". Rfam says of the family: This RNA motif was identified by computational search in b-proteobacteria Burkholderia. The record is from Rfam. Lineage: Bacteria; Pseudomonadati; Pseudomonadota; Betaproteobacteria; Burkholderiales; Burkholderiaceae.